This 75-nucleotide transfer RNA is filed under the name Pseudomonadota bacterium. RNAcentral describes it as "tRNA-Arg". It matches the Rfam family "tRNA". Rfam says of the family: Transfer RNA (tRNA) molecules are approximately 80 nucleotides in length. Their secondary structure includes four short double-helical elements and three loops (D, anti-codon, and T loops). Further hydrogen bonds mediate the characteristic L-shaped molecular structure. tRNAs have two regions of fundamental functional importance: the anti-codon, which is responsible for specific mRNA codon recognition, and the 3' end, to which the tRNAs corresponding amino acid is attached (by aminoacyl-tRNA synthetases). tRNAs cope with the degeneracy of the genetic code in two manners: having more than one tRNA (with a specific anti-codon) for a particular amino acid; and 'wobble' base-pairing, i.e. permitting non-standard base-pairing at the 3rd anti-codon position. RNAcentral also lists the same sequence under 1 other name. Lineage: Bacteria; Pseudomonadati; Pseudomonadota. The record is from RNAcentral.
GCCCUCGUAGCUCAGUGGAUAGAGCACCGGCCUCCGGAGCCGGGCGCGCAGGUUCGAUUCCUGUCGAGGGCGCCA